Molecule: ribosomal RNA, 484 nt
Filed under: uncultured bacterium
Lineage: Bacteria
Description: partial 16S ribosomal RNA
Rfam family: Bacterial small subunit ribosomal RNA
Source: RNAcentral
AUUGAACGCUGGCGGCAUGCUUUACACGUGCAAGUCGAACGGCAGCGCGGGCUUCGGCCUGGCGGCGAGUGGCGAACGGGUGAGUAAUGCAUUGGAACGUGCCCAGUAGUGGGGGAUAGCCCGGCGAAAGCCGGAUUAAUACCGCAUACGACCUGAGGGUGAAAGCGGGGGACCGAAAGGCCUCGCGCUAUUGGAGCGGCCGAUGUCGGAUUAGCUAGUUGGUGGGGUAAAGGCUUACCAAGGCGACGAUCCGUAGCUGGUCUGAGAGGACGACCAGCCACACUGGGACUGAGACACGGCCCAGACUCCUACGGGAGGCAGCAGUGGGGAAUUUUGGACAAUGGGGGCAACCCUGAUCCAGCCAUGCCGCGUGCGGGAAGAAGGCCUUCGGGUUGUAAACCGCUUUUGUUCGGGAAGAAAUCCUCUGGGCUAAUACCCCGGGGGGAUGACGGUACCGGAAGAAUAAGCACCGGCUAACUACGUG